RNAcentral lists this ribosomal RNA (301 nucleotides) under uncultured bacterium. RNAcentral's name for it is "partial 16S ribosomal RNA". It matches the Rfam family "Bacterial small subunit ribosomal RNA", at positions 509 to 807 of the family's 1533-position model. The record is from RNAcentral.
CAGUCGCCGCGGGAAAACGUAGGGCGCGAGCGUUGUCCGGAAUUAUUGGGCGUAAAGGGCUCGUAGGCGGCUUGUCGCGUCUGCUGUGAAAAUGCUGGGCUUAACUCCGUACGUGCAGUGGGUACGGGCAGGCUAGAGUGCGGUAGGGGUGACUGGAAUUCCUGGUGUAGCGGUGGAAUGCGCAGAUAUCAGGAGGAACACCGAUGGCGAAGGCAGGUCACUGGGCUGUUACUGACGCUGAGGAGCGAAUGCGUGGGGAGCGAACAGGAUUAGAUACCCCCGUAGUCCCUGUCUCUUAUAC